RNAcentral lists this long non-coding RNA (1102 nucleotides) under Macaca fascicularis (crab-eating macaque). RNAcentral describes it as "lncRNA (ENSMFAG00000060751.1)". The record is from RNAcentral. Lineage: Eukaryota; Metazoa; Chordata; Mammalia; Primates; Cercopithecidae.
GGUACUAUCCAUAGUUUCAGGUAUCCACUGGGGGAUCUUGGAAUGUAUCCCCCCAGGAUAAGGGCGGACCACUAUACCACAUUUAUCCAUUUAUCCAUCAAUGGACAUUUGAGUUGUUUCCACCUUUUAGGUACCUUCUGUGGAUUUACAAUUCUUUCAAAAUAAAAUGUCAAAAAGUACAAUCAGAAAUGAAAUCUAUGAAUUGGCUCACUCUUUCACCUACUGAGUAUGUAAAUUCGUGUUUGUUGUUGACCUGUUGACUUUUGUACAGUUCCCAUCACAGAGACGAUUUAAGCUUGGUAGGGCAUACAGAACCUGAUUUUUUCUUUUCUGCUUUUAAAGAAGCAACAUGUAUGAUUGUUCAGAGGAUAGUAUGUGAUGUUCAGUGAGCUUUAAUUAACCUGGCCCAUGACACUAUGUACACGCUUAGAUCGAGAAAUAAGAAAGGAAAUUCAGAGCCCUCUUGCACUGACAGGUGAUUUCAGGAGAGACAAUGACAUUAACAUUGAGCCAGCUCCUGACUGUACAAAAUAUGAAGCCAUUCUUUUUUUUUUUUUUUUGAGACCGAGUCUCGCUCUGUCGCCAGGCUGGAGUGCAAUGGCACGAUCUUGGCUCACUGCAACCUCUGCCUCCCAGGUUCAAAUGGUUCUCCUGCCUCAGCCUCCCGAGUAGCUGGGACUACAGGCACGUGCCACUAUGCCUGGCUAAUUUUUGUAUUUUUAGUAGAGACGGGGUUUCACCAUGUUGGCCAGGAUUUCUAAUGCGACCAGGUAAAAGUAAUUAGUAGGAGAAGGGAAUGCUUGGCUUUGGAGGAUUCAUUUGCAUUGCAAAGCAUUUCCCAUUGGUGGCUUGGCCAGGCAUUUCUCUGUCCAGCUGUGUAAUGGUCUCAAGACUGCAGAGCAUAUUCAUGCACAGCAUGGACACCACUUCAUGUAGGGGCACUGGACUACCUAAAGUUGGAGGAAGGGACCCUAGCUCAGAGACAGCGUCUAAGAGGGCGGCUCAGAAGGUGCCUCAAACACAAACACAUGACGAAUAUAGUUCUGCAGUGAAGACUUUAGCUCCACGGGGAAAGCUGAGACUCAGGAACCUGCUGGCAUAA